RNAcentral lists this ribosomal RNA (1498 nucleotides) under Psychrobacter phenylpyruvicus. Its description in RNAcentral is "bacterial SSU rRNA". It matches the Rfam family "Bacterial small subunit ribosomal RNA". Lineage: Bacteria; Pseudomonadati; Pseudomonadota; Gammaproteobacteria; Moraxellales; Moraxellaceae. The record is from RNAcentral.
AGAGUUUGAUCCUGGCUCAGAUUGAACGCUGGCGGCAGGCUUAACACAUGCAAGUCGAGCGGAAACGAUGGGAGCUUGCUCCUAGGCGUCGAGCGGCGGACGGGUGAGUAAUACUUAGGAAUCUGCCCAGUAGUGGGGGAUAGCUCGGGGAAACUCGAAUUAAUACCGCAUACACCCUACGGGGAAAAGGGGGCGCUUGCGCUCUCGCUAUUGGAUGAGCCUAAGUCGGAUUAGCUAGUUGGUGGGGUAAAGGCCUACCAAGGCGACGAUCUGUAGCUGGUCUGAGAGGAUGAUCAGCCACACCGGGACUGAGACACGGCCCGGACUCCUACGGGAGGCAGCAGUGGGGAAUAUUGGACAAUGGGGGCAACCCUGAUCCAGCCAUGCCGCGUGUGUGAAGAAGGCCUUUUGGUUGUAAAGCACUUUAAGCAGUGAAGAAGACUCUAUGGUUAAUACCCAUAGACGAUGACAUUAGCUGCAGAAUAAGCACCGGCUAACUCUGUGCCAGCAGCCGCGGUAAUACAGAGGGUGCAAGCGUUAAUCGGAAUUACUGGGCGUAAAGCGAGCGUAGGUGGCUUGAUAAGUCAGAUGUGAAAUCCCCGGGCUUAACCUGGGAACUGCAUCUGAUACUGUUAGGCUAGAGUAGGUGAGAGGGAGGUAGAAUUUCAGGUGUAGCGGUGAAAUGCGUAGAGAUCUGAAGGAAUACCGAUGGCGAAGGCAGCCUCCUGGCAUCAUACUGACACUGAGGUUCGAAAGCGUGGGUAGCAAACAGGAUUAGAUACCCUGGUAGUCCACGCCGUAAACGAUGUCUACUAGUCGUUGGGGAACUUGAUUCCUUAGUGACGCAGCUAACGCAAUAAGUAGACCGCCUGGGGAGUACGGCCGCAAGGUUAAAACUCAAAUGAAUUGACGGGGGCCCGCACAAGCGGUGGAGCAUGUGGUUUAAUUCGAUGCAACGCGAAGAACCUUACCUGGUCUUGACAUAUCUAGAAUCCUGCAGAGAUGCGGGAGUGCCUUCGGGAAUUAGAAUACAGGUGCUGCAUGGCUGUCGUCAGCUCGUGUCGUGAGAUGUUGGGUUAAGUCCCGCAACGAGCGCAACCCUUUUCCUUAGUUACCAGCGGUUUGGCCGGGGACUCUAAGGAUACUGCCAGUGACAAACUGGAGGAAGGCGGGGACGACGUCAAGUCAUCAUGGCCCUUACGACCAGGGCUACACACGUGCUACAAUGGUAGGUACAGAGGGCAGCUACACAGCGAUGUGAUGCGAAUCUCAAAAAGCCUAUCGUAGUCCAGAUUGGAGUCUGCAACUCGACUCCAUGAAGUCGGAAUCGCUAGUAAUCGCGGAUCAGAAUGCCGCGGUGAAUACGUUCCCGGGCCUUGUACACACCGCCCGUCACACCAUGGGAGUUGAUUGCACCAGAAGUGGGUAGCCUAACUUUUAGAGGGCGCUCACCACGGUGUGGUCGAUGACUGGGGUGAAGUCGUAACAAGGUAGCCGU